UUGAGAAGGGUGAUAGGAUGGGCACCCCACUGUGCUCUAAACUCUGUAUGGUUGGAGGACUCGAUCCCUUUGACUUUCCAUACUAACCUCUCACACUCCUGCCAGUUGCCCUACAUCACUGCUUUGGCUUAGAAGGUGUGUCCUUAAAGGCAGUUGUUCACGGGAGUGUUGGAAGUUUCAGAAGCAUGAAAAUCCUGGAUUUGUAAUCUACUGGCUCCUCAGGAACUUUUGGGAAACAAGAACCUGGAUUUUUCCAGUGUCUGGGACAGAUGAAUCACCAGGAAGAUGUAUUAUUAGUUCAGCAGGAUGGAAGCCCUAUUCUGAUUGACUUUGGUCAAGAAGAUGAGGUUCCUUCAACUUGUGCUAAGUCAGGGGCCACAGGCUACCAGCAGAUCCCUUUCUAGCUCUUUGCAGCAGAAACCAAGUUCCAGGCGUGAGGAGGAUGCUCUGCUGGUGCUGGGUAUGCAGUUACAGGAAUAUCAGCGUGUGCUGGAAUCAGAUACAUCCCUGUUGGCCUGAGAGGUCCAGACCUCCAGAACUGCGGCAAACUCAGAGCAAUAGAUAAACUGUCACGGACUAUAUCCAGGAUUCUGGAAAUAGGCAACUAUAAAAUGUAGAACCCUAGGAAGGUCUAUGGGGUGAGCAGAACUCAUUCCCAUCCUGGUGAAAUCACCACUAUACUGUGUGGCCUUAGUUUCUUCUUUAUUUUCCUAAAAAUAAGUUUCUUUAGCAUUCCUCCUGAUGAUAAUUAUGCAUGCUUAAUCUACACGAAUUUAAACAAAACAGAAAUA
This is a long non-coding RNA of Talpa occidentalis (Iberian mole), 791 nucleotides long. RefSeq lists it as uncharacterized. The transcript has 3 exons. NCBI's taxonomy places the organism in Eukaryota, Metazoa, Chordata, Mammalia, Eulipotyphla, Talpidae. The record is from RefSeq and is a predicted model, not a curated record.